UGUGAGAUAUCUCUUGGCCCAGCACCGAUGCGAUGUGACUCUCCUCUCAUGCCUACGCCCUGCCCACUGUAGUGAUUGUGCCACCAGCUCCUACGUUAUCUGACUCUUGUCUUCUUCCUGAGCCCUGCAAACAGGUAUGAUUGUGACACAGGCCACUGCUCAGAACAUGAGUGAUUUGACUCCUGCCUGGGCCCAGCAUACAGAUAGGAUUGCGACAUAUCGCUGGACCCAGCAUGUAGAUGAUGUGACCCUAUACUCUUGCCUUGGUGCUGCCAUAGAGGGCAUUGUGACAUAUCAGUAUUCCCUGCACCCAGAGAAGAUGGAGACAAAUUGCUAAGUGCGGUGUAUCUUGUGCUGACCUCCUCUCUCAUCCUGUGACAAGAAUGCCUAACCUGGGGAUGCAGCCAAGUAGGGUUAGCAUCAUUUCACGCAGCUGCUAUUCAAGAUUUCUGGUUUGAAUGCCUCCGACAUUAAGAUCCACUAUAAAAUUAUGCAAAAAGUCUAUUUGAAUUAUAGUGAAUGAGAAUUAAAAGAAUUAGGGUGGGCUAUUCUGAAAGAUGUAGUGAUAGUUAUAUUUGUGUUUAUGAGUUUUUUUAAAUUAACCUUUGUUUGUUACUUAAGAAUAGAUAUUUUCUCAAGCCUGUA
This is a non-coding RNA of Saimiri boliviensis boliviensis (Bolivian squirrel monkey), 645 nucleotides long. The record is from RefSeq and is a predicted model, not a curated record. NCBI's taxonomy places the organism in Eukaryota, Metazoa, Chordata, Mammalia, Primates, Cebidae.